Fundulus heteroclitus (mummichog) is the source of this 286-nucleotide long non-coding RNA. RefSeq lists it as uncharacterized. The record is from RefSeq and is a predicted model, not a curated record. Lineage: Eukaryota; Metazoa; Chordata; Actinopteri; Cyprinodontiformes; Fundulidae. The transcript has 2 exons.
GGCGGGGGGAACAUGUCCCCCCCAAUAUUGAAGCCAGGUGGAUAUGUCCCCCCCAAAAAACUGUACCGCAAAAUAUUGGAUUUUGAAAUUUUUUUAACUAGCGUGCUUUUAUUUUGAAGGCGCAGCAUCACGUUACGUCACUGUACUUCCCCUCCCCUCUCUGAACUGCUGAGUGAGCACUCAGAAGGGAGGGAAACAGCGACACAGAAGUCAGAAACUUGUGAAUGAGUACAAUGCCACCACCAACUAAAAGGCUGAAACAGCAGCAGGACUUACUCAGCUUUUU